UGACAUCCUGCCUUUGAAGAGGUGGAGAUCAAAGCCGGGGAUCGCAAGACCCGGCGCUUGGAGAGGGGCCCGCGCCCGAUUAGCUAGUUGGUGGGGUAACGGCUCACCAAGGCAACGAUCGGUAGCCGGCCUGAGAGGGCGGACGGCCACACUGGGACUGAGACACGGCCCAGACUCCUACGGGAGGCAGCAGUGGGGAAUUGUUCGCAAUGGGCGCAAGCCUGACGACGCAACGCCGCGUGGAGGAUGAAGAUCUUCGGGUCGUAAACUCCUUUCGAUCGAGACGAAUGGCCUCCGGGUAAAUAGUCCGGAGGUGUGACGGUACCGAGAGAAGAAGCCCCGGCUAACUCCGUGCCAGCAGCCGCGGUAAUACGGGGGGGGCAAGCGUUGUUCGGAAUUAUGGGCGUAAAGGGCUCGUA
This 419-nucleotide ribosomal RNA is filed under the name uncultured bacterium. RNAcentral's name for it is "bacterial SSU rRNA". It matches the Rfam family "Bacterial small subunit ribosomal RNA", at positions 173 to 573 of the family's 1533-position model. The record is from RNAcentral.